GGUUAAGCGAAUAAGCGUACACGGUGGAUGCCUAGGCAGUCAGAGGCGAUGAAGGACGUGCUAAUCUGCGAUAAGCGCCGGUAAGGUGAUAUGAACCGUUAUAACCGGCGAUUUCCGAAUGGGGAAACCCAGUGCAAUUCGUUGCACUAUCAUUACCUGAAUACAUAGGGUAAUGAAGCGAACCGGGAGAACUGAAACAUCUAAGUACCCCGAGGAAAAGAAAUCAAACGAGAUUCCCCCAGUAGCGGCGAGCGAACGGGGAGCAGCCCAGGACCUUAAUCAGCAUCAGUGUUAAGAGAACAGUCUGGAAAGGCUGGCCACAGCAGGUGAUAGCCCUGUAUCUGAAAGCACUGGUGUUGUGAGUCCGAUGAGUAAGGCGGGACACGUGUUAUCCUGUCUGAAUACGGGGGGACCAUCCUCCAAGGCUAAAUACUCCUGACUGACCGAUAGUGAACCAGUACCGUGAGGGAAAGGCGAAAAGAACCCCGGCGAGGGGAGUGAAAAAGAACCUGAAACCGUGUACGUACAAGCAGUGGGAGCACCUUUAUGGUGUGACUGCGUACCUUUUGUAUAAUGGGUCAGCGACUUAUAUUCUGUAGCAAGGUUAACCGGAUAGGGGAGCCGCAGGGAAACCGAGUCUUAACUGGGCGAAUUAGUUGCAGGGUAUAGACCCGAAACCCGGUGAUCUAGCCAUGGGCAGGUUGAAGGUUGGGUAACACUAACUGGAGGACCGAACCGACUAAUGUUGAAAAAUUAGCGGAUGACUUGUGGCUGGGGGUGAAAGGCCAAUCAAACCGGGAGAUAGCUGGUUCUCCCCGAAAGCUAUUUAGGUAGCGCCUCGUGAAUUCAUCUCCGGGGGUAGAGCACUGUUUCGGCUAGGGGGUCAUCCCGACUUACCAACCCGAUGCAAACUGCGAAUACCGGAGAAUGUUAUCACGGGAGACACACGGCGGGUGCUAACGUUCGUCGUGAAGAGGGAAACAACCCAGACCGCCGGCUAAGGUCCCAAAGUCAUAAUUAAGUGGGAAACGAAGUGGGAAGGCUCAGACAGCCAGGAUGUUGGCUUAGAAGCAGCCAUCAUUUAAAGAAAGCGUAAUAGCUCACUGGUCGAGUCGGCCUGCGCGGAAGAUGUAACGGGGCUAAAUUAUGCACCGAAGCCGCGGCAGCGAUAUGUAAAUAUUGUUGGGUAGGGGAGCGUUCUGUAAGCCUGUGAAGGUGGCCUGUGAGGGUUGCUGGAGGUAUCAGAAGUGCGAAUGCUGACAUAAGUAACGAUAAUGCGGGUGAAAAACCCGCACGCCGGAAGACCAAGGGUUCCUGUCCAACGUUAAUCGGGGCAGGGUGAGUCGACCCCUAAGGCGAGGCUGAAAAGCGUAGUCGAUGGGCAACGGGUUAAUAUUCCCGUACUGGUGGUAACUGCGAAGGGGGGACGGAGAAAGCUAAAUCAUCCGGGCGACGGUUGUCCCGGUUUAAGCGUGCAGGUGGACUGACCAGGCAAAUCCGGUCGGUUGUUAACACUGAGGCGUGACGACGAGCCACUACGGUGGUGAAGUGAUUGAUGCUCUGCUUCCGGGAAAAGCCUCUAAGCUCCAGGUUACCAUUAAUCGUACCCCAAACCGACACAGGUGGUCAGGUAGAGAAUACUCAGGCGCUUGAGAGAACUCGGGUGAAGGAACUAGGCAAAAUGGUGCCGUAACUUCGGGAGAAGGCACGCUGGCACUAGGUGAAGUGGUUUACCCAUGGAGCUGAAGCCAGCCGCAGAUACCAGCUGGCUGCAACUGUUUAUUAAAAACACAGCACUGUGCAAACACGAAAGUGGACGUAUACGGUGUGACGCCUGCCCGGUGCCGGAAGGUUAAUUGAUGAGGUCAGCCGCAAGGCGAAGCUUCUGAUCGAAGCCCCGGUAAACGGCGGCCGUAACUAUAACGGUCCUAAGGUAGCGAAAUUCCUUGUCGGGUAAGUUCCGACCUGCACGAAUGGCGUAAUGAUGGCCAGGCUGUCUCCACCCGAGACUCAGUGAAAUUGAACUCGCUGUGAAGAUGCAGUGUACCCGCGGCAAGACGGAAAGACCCCGUGAACCUUUACUAUAGCUUGACACUGAACAUUGAGCCUUGAUGUGUAGGAUAGGUGGGAGGCAACGAAGUGUGGACGCCAGUCUGCACGGAGCCAUCCUUGAAAUACCACCCUUUAACGUUUGAUGUUCUAACCCGGGUCCAUAAUCUGGAUCGGGGACCGUGUCUGGUGGGUAGUUUGACUGGGGCGGUCUCCUCCCAAAGAGUAACGGAGGAGCACGAAGGUUGGCUAAGCAUGGUCGGACAUCAUGCGGUUAGUGCAAAGGCAUAAGCCAGCUUGACUGCGAGAGUGACGGCUCGAGCAGGUACGAAAGUAGGUCUUAGUGAUCCGGUGGUUCUGAAUGGAAGGGCCAUCGCUCAACGGAUAAAAGGUACUCCGGGGAUAACAGGCUGAUACCGCCCAAGAGUUCAUAUCGACGGCGGUGUUUGGCACCUCGAUGUCGGCUCAUCACAUCCUGGGGCUGAAGUAGGUCCCAAGGGUAUGGCUGUUCGCCAUUUAAAGUGGUACGCGAGCUGGGUUUAGAACGUCGUGAGACAGUUCGGUCCCUAUCUGCCGUGGGCGCUGGAAGAUUGAGAGGGGUUGCUCCUAGUACGAGAGGACCGGAGUGAACGCACCACUGGUGUACGGGUUGUGAUGCCAAUUGCAUUGCCCGGUAGCUAAGUGCGGAAGAGAUAACCGCUGAAAGCAUCUAAGCGGGAAACUUGCCUCGAGAUGAGUCUUCCCUGACCCUUUAAGGGUCCUGAAGGAACGUUUGAGACUAAGACGUUGAUAGGCUGGGUGUGUAAGCGCAGCGAUGCGUUGAGCUGACCAGUACUAAUGAACCGAGAGGCUUAACCUGACAACACCGAAGGUGUUUUG
This 2928-nucleotide ribosomal RNA is filed under the name Morganella morganii IS15. RNAcentral describes it as "LSU rRNA". It matches the Rfam family "Bacterial large subunit ribosomal RNA". The record is from RNAcentral. Lineage: Bacteria; Pseudomonadati; Pseudomonadota; Gammaproteobacteria; Enterobacterales; Morganellaceae.